Molecule: non-coding RNA, 73 nt
Organism: Eubacterium coprostanoligenes
Lineage: Bacteria; Bacillati; Bacillota; Clostridia; Eubacteriales; Eubacteriaceae
Source: Rfam
GGAAGCAUAGCUCAGCUGGGAGAGCAUCUGCCUUACAAGCAGAGGGUCACAGGUUCGAGCCCUGUUGUUUCCA